AUUGAACGCUGGCGGCAGGCCUAACACAUGCAAGUCGAGCGGAUGAAGGGAGCUUGCUCCUGGAUUCAGCGGCGGACGGGUGAGUAAUGCCUAGGAAUCUGCCUGGUAGUGGGGGAUAACGUCCGGAAACGGGCGCUAAUACCGCAUACGUCCUGCGGGAGAAAGUGGGGGAUCUUCGGACCUCACGCUAUCAGAUGAGCCUAGGUCGGAUUAGCUAGUUGGUGGGGUAAAGGCCUACCAAGGCGACGAUCCGUAACUGGUCUGAGAGGAUGAUCAGUCACACUGGAACUGAGACACGGUCCAGACUCCUACGGGAGGCAGCAGUGGGGAAUAUUGGACAAUGGGCGAAAGCCUGAUCCAACCAUGCCGCGUGUGUGAAGAAGGUCUUCGGAUUGUAAAGCACUUUAAGUUGGGAGGAAGGGCAGUAAGUUAAUACCUUGCUGUUUUGACGGUACCAACAGAAUAAGCACCGGCUAACUUCGUG
This 484-nucleotide ribosomal RNA is filed under the name uncultured bacterium. Its description in RNAcentral is "partial 16S ribosomal RNA". It matches the Rfam family "Bacterial small subunit ribosomal RNA", at positions 30 to 507 of the family's 1533-position model. The record is from RNAcentral.